CCGGCAGGGACGGCGGCUGCAGCCGCGCCGCUACCCCGGCUGCGAGCGAGCGAGCGAGCGAAGUCUCGGGGACCGGGUUCAUGCCGGGCGGGGAGAGCAGGAGCCCGGCCAGGAAGGGGCACGGAGCUGGCCGAGUCAGAUUGUAGCUAAGAAGUGAGCAGGAUGCCCCCGGGCAUCUAUUGCCCUGUUGAAUUCUGGUCCAAGGAAGAAAACCAAACCAUCCAGGUGGACUUCCUGCUGCCUACAGGGAUAUACCUGAAUCUAUCUGUAUCCUGCAAUGCCAGCUUGGGCACCAUCAAACAGGUGGUCUGGCGUCACGCACAGUAUGAGCCGUUGUAUCACAUGCUCAGUGACCCCGAAGCGUACGUCUUCACGUGUAUCAACCAGACAGCCGAGCAGCAGGAGCUGGAGGAUGAGCAGCGGCGCCUCUGCGACAUUCAGCCCUUCCUGCCUGUCCUUCGACUGGUGGCUCGUGAAGGUGACCGCGUCAAGAAGCUGAUUAACUCCCAGAUCAGCCUGCUUAUUGGGAAAGCAGCGGCAGCUGAUUAUCAAGGACCAGUGACCCUACUGCUAUGUGGAUCAUCUCUCUUCAUUUCAACACCCCACUCAGGUUUGCAUGAGUUUGACUCGGUGCGCGACCCGGAGGUGAAUGACUUCCGUGCAAAAAUGCGACAGUUCUGUGAAGAGAAGGCGGUGAAGCGACAGCAGCUGAGCUGGAUGACCUGGAUGGAAUACAACUUUCCCUUGCAACUGGAGCCCUUGGCCAAAGGUCCCAGGACCGGCCCCCUUCGCAUCCCCAACAAGAACAUCUUCGUCAACGUCAAGUUUGAGUCUGGCGGGGAGAGCUUCACCUUCCAAGUCUCCCCCAAGGAAUUCCCUGUCACGUUAAUGAGCUAUGCCAUCAAGAAGCAAGCUACCGUCUUCCGCCACCAGACAGUGGAGAGCCCUGAGGAUUAUACUCUGCAGGUGAAAGGGAAAUGUGAAUAUCUCUACGGGAACUACCCUCUGUACCAGUUCCAGUACAUCCGGAGCUGCCUGCACCAUGGUCUGAUGCCCCACCUGACGAUGGUACACUUCUCCUCCAUCAUCGCUAUGCGAGACGAGCAGACCAACUGCACCGCCCACACCCCGAAGAUGGUUUCCAAGCCUCCCCCGCUCCCCAAGAAAAAGCCAACUCACGAGUCUCUCUGGUCCCUUAAUCAGCCUUUUUACAUUGAACUGGUGCAAGGCAGUAAAGUGAAUGCAGAUGAGAGGAUGAAGUUGGUGGUGCAGGCAGGCCUUUACCAUGGCAACGAGAUGCUCUGCAAGAUGGUGUCAAGCGCCGAGGUGAAUGUGUGUUCGGAGCCAGUGUGGAAACAGAGGCUGGAUUUUGACAUUAGCAUCUGUGACUUGCCCCGCAUGGCGCGGCUCUGCUUCGCCCUCUACGCUGUCAUCGAGAAGGCCAAGAAGGCACGAUCCACCAAGAAAAAAUCCAAGAAAGCUGACUGUCCAAUAGCCUGGGUGAAUGUCAUGCUCUUUGACUACAAGGACCAGUUGAAAACAGGAGAGUGCUGCCUGCACAUGUGGUCGUCAUUUCCAGAUGAGAAAGGGGAGCUGUUGAACCCCAUGGGCACAGUCCAGAGCAACCCCAACACAGAGAGCGCAGCAGCCCUGGUCAUCUGCUUCCCCAGCGUCACACCCCAUCCUGUGUACUACCCAUCCUUCGAGCAGCUGUUGGAGUUGGGGAGGAACGGAGAGUACACCCGUGCCGCAUCAGAGGAUCCAGAGGAGAAGCAGCAGCUGAGGGAGAUCCUGGAGCGAAGGAGCCACACCGAACUCUAUGAGCAUGAGAAGGACCUGGUGUGGAAGAUGAGGUACGAGAUCCGGGACCAGUACCCAGAGGCCUUGGCAAAGCUCCUCAUCAUCACCAAGUGGAACAAACAUGAGGAUGUUGCCCAGAUGAUCUCCCUGCUCCGGUCCUGGCCGGAGCUGCCUGUCCUGAAUGCCCUGGAGCUGCUGGAUUUUAGCUUCCCUGAUCGCUAUGUUGGUUCCUUCACAAUCAACUCAUUAAAAAAGCUGACAGAUGACGAAUUGUUCCAGUAUCUGCUGCAGCUUGUCCAGGUGCUCAAGUAUGAAUCCUACUUAGACUGUGAAUUAACCAAGUUCCUACUGGACAGAGCUUUAGCCAAUCGCAAAAUAGGACACUUUCUGUUUUGGCAUCUCAGGUCAGAGAUGCACGUCCCUGCAGUCGCCCUCAGGUUUGGCCUGAUUUUGGAGGCCUAUUGCAGAGGCAGCAACUACCAUAUGAAAGUUCUAAUGAAGCAGGGGGAAGCACUUAAUAAAAUGAAAGCCUUGAAUGACUUCAUUAAAGUGAGCUCUCAGAAGGCCACCAAACCACAAGCCAAGGAGAUGAUGCAUGUGUGCAUGAAGCAGGAGACCUAUCUCGAGGCACUUUCCAAUCUCCAGUGCCCCCUGAACCCCACCGUUAUUCUUGCUGAAGUUUGUGUGGAUCAGUGCACUUUUAUGGACUCCAAGAUGAAACCAUUGUGGAUUGUGUUUAAUAAUGAAGAAGCAGGUGGAAGGGGAGUGGGCAUCAUUUUCAAAAAUGGAGACGAUCUCCGUCAGGACAUGCUGACUCUGCAGAUGAUCCAGCUGAUGGACGUACUGUGGAAGCAGGAGGGUUUGGACCUGAGGAUGACCCCUUACGGCUGCCUCUCCACAGGCGACAAGACGGGGCUGAUCGAAGUCGUCCUGCACUCGGACACCAUUGCCAACAUCCAACUGAACAAAAGCAACAUGGCAGCCACUGCAGCUUUCAACAAGGAUGCGCUGCUGAACUGGCUAAAAUCCAAGAACCCAGGUGAAGCACUAGAACAAGCCAUAGAGGAGUUCACUCUUUCCUGUGCUGGGUACUGUGUGGCAACGUAUGUGCUGGGCAUAGGGGACCGGCACAGCGACAACAUCAUGAUCCGGGAAACUGGCCAGCUGUUUCAUAUUGAUUUUGGCCACUUCUUGGGGAACUUCAAAACCAAAUUUGGUAUUAACAGAGAACGGGUUCCUUUUAUCUUAACCUAUGACUUUGUGCAUGUGAUCCAGCAAGGGAAAACUACCAACAGUGAAAAGUUUGAAAGAUUCAGGGAUUACUGUGAAAAAGCCUACAUGAUCCUGAGGUGCCAUGGUCUUCUCUUCCUGCAUUUGUUUGCACUGAUGAAAGCUGCUGGCCUGCCAGAACUCAGCUGCUCUAAAGACAUUCAGUAUCUCAAGGAUUCUCUAGCUUUAGGAAAAACAGAUGAGGAGGCAUUGAAGCACUUCAGACUAAAAUUUAAUGAAGCCCUUCGAGAGAGCUGGAAAACCAAAGUGAACUGGUUGGCACACAAUGUAUCCAAAGAUAACAGACAGUAAUUAGAGCGCCUGGACCACGCACAGGCUAGGAGAAUGUAAUAGCAGUGGCCAUGAGCCAGUUGUAUAAAGACUAUGGAACGUUGCCAUGUUGAAGAUCAAAAACCUGCACCUCAAGUUUUUGAGAAGAGUCUACAUCAUCCCAUUCUAGAUCUCUAGGGCAGAAGAGGGAUGGCAUGAGGCAAUAAGAUUAAUGUAUACACUGAAAGUUACUUUCAAUCUGUGAUUUUAGGAACAUUUUUGGUAAGUUUAAAAAUAAAAUGUUUAAGUUGUACACUAGUCCUGGGAAAAUUAUUCCCUCACCUUAGGCAUUAAAGUCAAACUGGGAUAGCGUAGCCACUACAGGCAAACCAUUUAAAACAUGGAUAGUCGGUUAUCACUUGACUCAAACUUUGUACCAUUCGGAAAGCAGAUUUUAGAACCAGAAAUUUAUUGUAGCUUAGACUUUUCAAACAGACUUAUUACCAAUAUACAGAUCUGAAAAGUUACAUCCACACUGGCUACAAACUGCAUCAGAAAGUUUACAGCCUUUCAGCAUUAGCAUUCAAUCAUGAUCAGUUUUAGUCUAAAAUACAGCAGCUACAGUAUAUGGAAGAAUAAGUCUUCUACACAUUGACAUUAACACAGGACAACUGUCAGACAUAAGUCAAAAGUUCCCCAGUUUACUUAAAACUAGCAGUUAUGUUACCACAUAAAAGUAGUCAAACCCAUAUCCCCGUUUUAGAAAUCUAAAAUUUUACAUUAAAAAACAGUAAGAUUGCGUGGGUUCUCUCCCCUGCUUUCAGGUCCAUUAUUGUAAAAGGCACUCCAGAGUCAAGCUUUACCCCAGAUAAACCCACACCUAGGUCCUGUUUCACACACUGGGAGGCAAGCUGUGUGGUAGGUAAGAAUAGGUCUGCUCUGAAAACAUAUAGAAAUAGCUGGGUCUAUUUUUCCUUCAGCUGUUCACACCCUCUGCUAUCUGCCUUUCUCCCCCCCACCUUUAACCUGCUCAAGGAACAACUAUUCAACAUUUCCCACUACUGGUAUGGAAGUUGAGCCAACAGUAAACAGAUUACAUGCAAUAUCAAAAUCUGGAACUCUGCUACCAUAAUGAGUGAAUGGAGUUCUAAUUUCACAUUGCAAGCAAAUCACGUUACCUUUUAACCCACCUCCAAAAGGUCAAAUUGAAUAAGCAGAUCUGCAUAAGACAAAGCUCUGAAUAGGAUCAAAAGCGUUAAACAGAGAACAAGACCUGCCUUACGAAAAAUCUAGCACUCACCACCAUGGGGUCAUAACUUACUUUUCGUACCUUGAAGUAGUCCUUUGCACUUCCAAGUUAGAGGUCUUUGAUCAGAAAAUCAGCCUGCCACGUCUUGGAACAAUAAUCUUAACUCGAUCGAUUUACUCUGGUUGGAUAAUAUAUGCCAUAAUUUCAUCAGCAGGAAAACAGAUUUACUAAGUGUAAACAAAAGGUUUAAAUACACCAACAGUCUAGAUUACUAUACGAGGAGCUACAGGGACUGUGUUGAAUAGAAAUGAUGCCAACUAUGCCCACCCAUGUCCUAAAUUAGAAAAGUUCACAAUCCAAAAAAUAAAAUCUUUCUCUAGACUGAUAGCCCAGGUCUCAGGCUUUUCAGCUUCAGUUACCAUUAUUACAGACAACUGAAUAACCUGCCCUGCCAGCCAUGUGACCAGCAAGCAGCCUUGGACUACAACCAGCCCCACUCUAAUUAACAGAGGCUCUGGUGAGAACACUCAGAAUAUCAAUAGCAAGCCUACUUGCUCUAUAUCCAGGCAGUGUUUCUCUCUCUCAAAUUUAGUAAUCCUGACACUGAAAUAAGUGAAGGAUCAAGACAAACUGUAGGAGGCAGUGCAGUUGAACCUCUGUAGAAAUUCUGAAAAACCUUUACAGUUGCAAGCUUGUCUUUUCUCUCCAUAAAAACAAAGUGAGGAGGAGAACAACAGCAGGGCUUGAGUGAACACAGCAGUUGUGGCCAAUGACACUGCAUUAUUAGUACAUCUACACUAGAGAACUGUGCCUGUGCUCCCACUGCAAUAGUUAUGCGACUUGUAGUAUUUCAUGCUUCAUGAUUUUUACCUUAGCGUGUUUUAAACCCCAGUCCCUGUUUUCACUACCACAAAUGACAUAAUUCAAUAUAUUUACAAAAUAGUCAGAAAAAGUCAAUCUUCUACAUAUUAACCUCAUUCUGCCACUUUACACAUGCACUAGUUUGGGGAAAAAAAUUCACCAAGCCGAAAUAAGCAACUUUACCCUUUGUCAACAAGUGACUUUUGCAUCUUUCAGAAAGAAUAAGAUGAAUCAAGCCAAAGUUGUUUCACCGGGGGGGGGGGGGGGGGGGAAGUGUCCAGAAACUCACGUGCAAUGGUUACACAUCUGCAGAGUCAUUUACUUAGCUGAGAUGACACGAAGAAAAAAAGUGCAAGGUGGUUCCUCACAUAGUGUAAAAAAUCCAGUCACUGAGGGAUGGGUGAGGGAGGAGAGGUGCUAACUACAGUUCUAGAGACAGCAUUAGGAACUAGCCAAUGUAACACAAAUAUUGGGAUGGGUGGUUGGCUGGCUCUAUUGGCCAAAAUAAUUUUUUUACACCAUGGAUCCUUGGGAACAAUGGAGAGGAUUACAGUGAAGUCUUCUAGAGCAGAAACAAA
Molecule: RNA transcript, 6027 nt
Organism: Gopherus evgoodei (Goodes thornscrub tortoise)
Lineage: Eukaryota; Metazoa; Chordata; Testudines; Testudinidae
Gene: PIK3CD
Gene name: phosphatidylinositol-4,5-bisphosphate 3-kinase catalytic subunit delta
Exons: 24
Source: RefSeq, a predicted model, not a curated record